GCUCCCAUCCAGGAAGGCGCAGGCGCGCAAAUUACUCAUGUUGUAUCGACGAAGUAGUGACGAGAAAUAAUAGUGGGGUGGGCUUUGCCUACUCUUUCUGUAAUGAGAGCAAUGUAAAAACCUCAUCGAGGAUCAACUGGAGGGCAAGUCUGGUGCCAGCAGCCGCGGUAAUUCCAGCUCCAGAAGCGUGUAUUAAAGUUGUUGCAGUUAAAAAGCUCGUAGUUGAAGUAUUGGUAGGUUGGAUCGGCUCUUGCGGUGAAUGCCGCUUGUAAUGUCUGUGUCCGGCUGGCCAUCAUUUCACUGUUUUUUAUGGAUGGUGAAUCAUUUACUGUAAAAAAAUUAGAGUGUUUCAAGCAAAAGGUUGUAUUUGGAAUAUAGUAGUAUGGAAUAAUAAGAUAGGACUUUGGUACUAUUUUGUUGGUUUGCAUACCGAAGUAAUGAUUAACAGGGACAGUUGGGGGUAUUCGUAUUUGGUUGUCAGAGGUGAAAUUCUUGGAUUUACAAAAGACGAACUACUGCGAAAGCAUUUACCAAGGAUGUUUUCAUUAAUCAAGAACGAAAGUUAGGGGAUCGAAGAUGAUUAGAUACCAUCGUAGUCUUAACCGUAAACGAUGCCGACUUGCGAUUGUCCGAUGUUUGUUUUAAUAAGACAUGGGCAGCAGCACAUGAGAAAUCAAAGUCUUUGGGUUCCNGGGGGAGUAUGGUCGCAAGGCUGAAACUUAAAGGAAUUGACGGAAGGGCACCACCCGGGAGUGGAGCCUGCGGCUUAAUUUGACUCAACACGGGGAAA
RNAcentral lists this ribosomal RNA (790 nucleotides) under uncultured marine stramenopile. RNAcentral's name for it is "bacterial SSU rRNA". It matches the Rfam family "Eukaryotic small subunit ribosomal RNA", at positions 408 to 1213 of the family's 1831-position model. The record is from RNAcentral.